This 392-nucleotide ribosomal RNA is filed under the name uncultured Gammaproteobacteria bacterium. RNAcentral describes it as "bacterial SSU rRNA". It matches the Rfam family "Bacterial small subunit ribosomal RNA", at positions 370 to 779 of the family's 1533-position model. Lineage: Bacteria; Pseudomonadati; Pseudomonadota; Gammaproteobacteria. The record is from RNAcentral.
AAUGGGCGCAAGCCUGAUCCAGCGAUGCCGCGUGGAUGAUGAAGGCCCUAGGGUUGUAAAGUCCUUUCGAUGGAGAAGAUAAUGACGGUAACCAUUAAAGAAGCCCCGGCUAAUUUCGUGCCAGCAGCCGCGGUAAUACGAAAGGGGCAAGCGUUGUUCGGAAUUACUGGGCGUAAAGCGCGCGUAGGCGGCAUGCCAAGUUGGGGGUGAAAUCCCGGAGCUCAACUCCGGAACUGCCUCCAAAACUGGCAAGCUAGAGGAUGUGAGAGGAUAGUGGAAUUCCGAGUGUAGAGGUGAAAUUCGUAGAUAUUCGGAAGAACACCAGUGGCGAAGGCGACUGUCUGGCACAUUUCUGACGCUGAGGUGCGAAAGCGUGGGGAGCGAACAGGAUU